This 492-nucleotide ribosomal RNA is filed under the name uncultured bacterium. RNAcentral's name for it is "partial 16S ribosomal RNA". It matches the Rfam family "Bacterial small subunit ribosomal RNA", at positions 29 to 507 of the family's 1533-position model. The record is from RNAcentral.
AGUGAACGCUGGCGGUAGGCCUAACACAUGCAAGUCGAACGGCAGCACAGUAAGAGCUUGCUCUUACGGGUGGCGAGUGGCGGACGGGUGAGGAAUACAUCGGAAUCUACUUUUUCGUGGGGGAUAACGUAGGGAAACUUACGCUAAUACCGCAUACGACCUACGGGUGAAGGCAGGGGAUCUUCGGACCUUGCGCGAUUGAAUGAGCCGAUGUCGGAUUAGCUAGUUGGCGGGGUAAAGGCCCACCAAGGCGACGAUCCGUAGCUGGUCUGAGAGGAUGAUCAGCCACAGUGGAACUGAGACACGGUCCAGACUCCUACGGGAGGCAGCAGUGGGGACUAUUGGACAAUGGGGGCAAGCCUGAUCCAGCCAUACCGCGUGGGUGAAGAAGGCCUUCGGGUUGUAAAGCCCUUUUGUUGGUAAAGAAAAGCAGCAGGUUAAUACCCCGCUGUUCUGACGGUACCCAAAGAAUAAGCACCGGCUAACUUCGUG